This 256-nucleotide ribosomal RNA is filed under the name uncultured bacterium. Its description in RNAcentral is "partial 16S ribosomal RNA". It matches the Rfam family "Bacterial small subunit ribosomal RNA", at positions 524 to 776 of the family's 1533-position model. The record is from RNAcentral.
GACAUAGGUGGCGAACGUUAUCCGGAAUUAUUGGGCGUAAAGGGUGCGUAGAUUGUGAAAUAAGUUACUGGUGGUAAAUCAAGGCCUAACCUUGUGGAAGCUAGUAAUACUGUUACACUAGAGUGCAGAAGAGGUUAAUGGAAUUCCAUGUGGAGCGGUGAAAUGUGUCGAUAUAUGGAAGAACAUCAAUAAAGGCGAAGGCAUUUAACUAUUCUGCUACUGACGUUGAGGCACGAAAGCGUGGGGAGCAAAAAGG